Molecule: long non-coding RNA, 3216 nt
Filed under: Xyrichtys novacula (pearly razorfish)
Lineage: Eukaryota; Metazoa; Chordata; Actinopteri; Labriformes; Labridae
Source: RNAcentral
UAAGAUUUUACCCUUUAAUGCAAUCUUUUCUCAAAAACAAUCUUUCCAGUCCGAGCUUUCACAUUUGACGUUUCUGUGCAUUAUUAUUACUCAUUACAAAAUGGUGACAAAUCUUUUUUCAGUUAAAAAUGCACUGGAUACAUCCAUGCAACAUCAAACUGUGUUUAGCAAACAAUCAUGCUGUCCAAAAUUCACAUAACAGCGCUCAUUUAGUGGAUGCUCAUGUCUUUGAGUUUUGUUCCUGAGCACUUACAUUUCAUUUGGGGGUUUGAAUCCCAACAGUCAAGAUUUUUCCUUUAAAGGAACAUUCACAGAUCUACAGAGACCCAAACAUUAAACAGAGAGUCCAACAAGAGGAAGGAGAGAGUGAUGAUGAGCUGCAGGAGCUCAACAUUCAUGGGGUAAAGUUUGAUUCAUACUAUUGGGGUUUUAGUCUGAAAAUGUGGAUUUUACAAUACCUACUAAAGUAAAAAGUUUAAGUUCCGGUGGUUCUUGAGUCAUUAUUUCAACAAUACUUACAAUAAAAGUUGCAUUUUUAAAAAGAAAAGUUCUCGCAUAAGAAACAACUUUAUUCUAAAAUGACUAAUUGCUUCAUCAAAUGAUGUUUGAAAUGAUUUUUUCCACACAGCAGUUAAACUAAAAACCUCUGAAAGGAUUUUCCCCACUUGCACACUAACAUGUUGUUAAAUUUGGCACGUCAUGUUUCACAUUCAUUAAUCAGUGAUCAUACACAUCAAGGUUUAAGGUGGUUGGAGUCCCUUUUGGACCCACCAAACGAGGCUGAUUGUUUACAGCAGCCAAAUCGGUGCGUCAGAGUUUAAAACUUCUGUGUAUAAGACUUAUUGUUGAACUGUUACUAGAAAUCAUGAUUUUAGAGUAUUCUUUAGAUAUGUUUAUACUCCUAUAAAAACAGCUUGUUAAUUAAGAUAGGAAAGAUUAAAACUAGCUCUCCUCUGAUCAUUACAAUCCUGCUUUCUUCCCCUAGAAUAUACUAAAACCCCCAUUUUCAUCAUUUGUUUACUGUGUUUUUGUGACACAAAACUAUCAGUAAGAUAAGAUAUAGUUUGUAAAGAAUACUAGAUUAUAGCCCAUGUUUAGUACUCCCGUUAGUCCUGGUAACUUCAAGAUUCAUAAAUGCUCAUUACUCUGACACUCUUAUUUUGAAUGCACAAGCACAUUUGACUCAAAAUUCAACUUAACUGUGAACUUCCAAACCAACCAGCUCAAAAUCAGCAUCCUAAACCUGUGGCACGUUGUCAUUGAUACAAAUAAACUGUACAUACUUUUUCUUUGCGGGUUUCUAUACAUUGUUUUCCUGCCAUCUAUACAGCGUUAGAAAAUAUAUAAAAUAUUAAGUGAAAAUUUACAUGUCCAUUCAAGUUAAAAACACAAUUCUGCUCUUCAAAGCUAUUUACAAAUCUCUGUGUGGUUACGUGUUGUCAUUCAGCUGUCAACACAGGAGUGGGAGGGUGUCUCUGUUCAGUGAAAACAGCUAAAUAAUAAUAAAAAAAGAGUGAUGUAUGAGCUGCAAACUGGAUAUGAGCCUUUUUUUUCUUUGGAUUCCUCUUUUCAGAUUAAAAUGAUCAUGUAUUGUUGCAAAGGCGUACACAUGGAGGGGGAACAUCUGAGCCAGAGAUGAGGAUGUAAGGAUGUCCUGUACCGACACGGUUUCUACUCAUGUAAACAAAAGGCAAAUUCUGACUAACCCACCAGGUCAAAGAGAAAACAGUUUACACUGAGCAAAUUAUCGAACUCAGAGGGUCACAGUGUCUGGUUACAUGUUUCUCUAGUGGAGUAGUUGGUGGAGAGUUUAACCAGACACAGCCUUCGUAUAACCGUACGUCAAUUUUAGUGCUAACUAGAUACUGUCACAGGUAAUUGUUAACAUCUAAUUGUGGAGCGUUACAGCAUUCGAGCAGCGGGUAUAAACCAGAGCUACGAUCCCAGCUCUUCUUUGACACUAAAUUUGACAUUUCAGGCCCAUAAUGAUAAAAAAUGAAAGUAAUUUGUUUAACCGACUAGUACCUUGAGUGCUAACUAGCAAGGGUGAUAUUUAGUCGACUAAACGUCCAUCUCUGGUAACACAGUAUGCCGAUUAUGCUCCUAAAAUUGAGGUUCUUGAGUAUCCAAAUGUUGUUACCUGAUUUCCUCUAUAGACUCAAACUGAGAUUGGUGACUCUUCAGACUCUGAAGAGGAGGAGGAGGAGCCAAAACAAUCAGAUGAUAGAACCAAAGACUAUGAGCGGCAUUAGCAUCGGCUGAACCAAAAUACUGAUUUAUUUAGAUAAUGAAAGUAUUUCUUAGAUGAAACAAUCAUAUGGUACGUGGGAAUUAAGUUCCUCAGUGGUUGAUUCAGCAUGCAGCACCAUGAGAUUAAAAAAAAAAACAGCCUUAGUGUGACAGUCAUUCAAAAAAAGUAAAAAAGAUAAACAAAAAAAAAAGUUUUUGUACCAGUUAUGAAAUAAACUCAACUUACUCUUGCAGCGUGCAUCAGCUAAGGCAGAGAUGUAUAGCAUUAAAUACUUUCACUGUGACAGCCUGGGAAACAGAGAGCACUGAUGGACGCUGGGAGAAGUAUGUGGCCUGAAACGGACAACAGAGCGCUUCAUGAAUCGGUCAAGGUUAGUGGACUCGUCAUGUUGGAGGCAUUGGUGGGAGCUGUCAGAUAAACCAUCAGUGAGAUCACGUCAAAGUAAGGAAUACCAAUAAUGAAUACAGUGUCUGGACUCUGAUCCAGUUUUGAGUUUGCUGAGGUAUCAUGUAAGAUAUCUGAGACUCUUCCAGUCUGGGUCCAUUUCUGUUAGUGUUUAAACUAUAGGGGUUCUUUGACUUUAAUUUUAAUGCCUUAUCCAGCUUUAAGAGAAACAAAAUGUGAAGGGCAACUGACUGACCCAAGAAAAUGGCAAAAAAUAGAGAUUACAUUGUGGACUGAAUGCCUCUUACAAAUCAAAGAAACAUCUAUCCUUGAGACUUUUAAAUUGGAUCCUUUUUAAAAUGUCAUCCAUGCUACAUCAAAUGAAUUAAGCCAUUAUCAUUAUGGGUUAAAGAUCAUCAAGUCUCAGGACUGUGGACGUGCUCUGGGGUCUGCUCCACCUUUAUUGACCAGGAAGCAUAUCCAUUGUGUUAAGAUAAAUAAAAUAAAAAAAUGACUGUCAGUGAAAUAAAAACAAAUAUAACAUUCAUACAAAUUUACUGUAAGGCAUUCUUUCACCAGGU